Molecule: ribosomal RNA, 459 nt
Filed under: uncultured bacterium
Lineage: Bacteria
Description: partial 16S ribosomal RNA
Rfam family: Bacterial small subunit ribosomal RNA
Source: RNAcentral
CCUACGGGAGGCAGCAGUGAGGAAUAUUGGUCAAUGGGCGCGAGCCUGAACCAGCCAAGUAGCGUGAAGGAUGACUGCCCUACGGGUUGUAAACUUCUUUUAUAAAGGAAUAAAGUGAGUCACGUGUGCCUUUUUGUAUGUACUUUAUGAAUAAAGAUCGGCUAACUCCGUGCCAGCAGCAGCGGUAAUACGGAGGUUACGAUCGUUAUCCGAUUUAUUGGGUUUAAAGGGAGCGUAGAUGGGUUGUUAAGUCAGUUGUGAAAGUUUGCGGCUCAACCGUAAAAUUGCAAUUGAUACUGGCAGUCUUGAGUACAGUUGAGGUAGGCGGAAUUCGUGGUGUAGCGGUGAAAUGCUUAGAUAUCACGAAGAACUCCGAUUGCGAAGGCAGCUUACUAAACUGCCACUGACAUUGAUGCUCGAAAGUGUGGGUAGCAAACAGGAUUAGAUACCCUUGUAGUC